GCACGAUGGACGUUACUGGGGCCAGGCUCACUUGGACUAUAAUCGAGUCGUGAGUUUGACUUCAAUGGAACGACACCAGGCGCUGUUGAUCUACAUGACUUUGUGUGAGCUGAUGGCGACCUGAUUGCAUGCGACGUGGCAUGCGAGGAGUUCUGCAAUGUUGCCAACAUCGGAAGUACAUGCCACAGUGGAAAAUAAGAAGUGUAUGAACUGGUCUCCAGAUUUGGUAGGCAAAUCAAUAAGGCUGUGCUCUUUCUGCAAUAGAUGGCACAAUACGUAGUGAGCUGUGCACCAGGGUCUCGCCGGCUUGCCAUAUGUGUAUAUAAGGAAAGCGCAGCUGAACCAUUGAAAGCAAUAAAAUGGGUUUGUUGACAUUU
This is a long non-coding RNA of Rhipicephalus microplus (southern cattle tick), 377 nucleotides long. The record is from RefSeq and is a predicted model, not a curated record. Lineage: Eukaryota; Metazoa; Arthropoda; Arachnida; Ixodida; Ixodidae.